AGCAGUGCCGCGGGAAUACGUAGGGUGCAAGCGUUAAUCGGAAUUACUGGGCGUAAAGCGUGCGCAGGCGGUUUGUUAAGACAGAUGUGAAAUCCCCGGGCUCAACCUGGGAACUGCAUUUGUGACUGGCAAGCUAGAGUGUGGCAGAGGGGGGUGGAAUUCCGCGUGUAGCAGUGAAAUGCGUAGAUAUGCGGAGGAACACCGAUGGCGAAGGCAGCCCCCUGGGCCAACACUGACGCUCAUGCACGAAAGCGUGGGGAGCAAACAGGAUUAGAUACCCCUGUAGUCCCUGUCUCUUAUACA
RNAcentral lists this ribosomal RNA (303 nucleotides) under uncultured bacterium. RNAcentral's name for it is "partial 16S ribosomal RNA". It matches the Rfam family "Bacterial small subunit ribosomal RNA", at positions 510 to 808 of the family's 1533-position model. The record is from RNAcentral.